Molecule: ribosomal RNA, 474 nt
Filed under: Veillonella sp. oral taxon 780
Lineage: Bacteria; Bacillati; Bacillota; Negativicutes; Veillonellales; Veillonellaceae
Description: bacterial SSU rRNA
Rfam family: Bacterial small subunit ribosomal RNA
Source: RNAcentral
GACGAACGCGGCGGCGUGCUUAACACAUGCAAGUCGAACGGACGACGAGGGAGCUUGCUCUCUUGAAGUUAGUGGCGAACGGGUGAGUAACGCGUAAUCAACCUGCCCUUCAGAGGGGGAUAACAACGGGAAACCGUUGCUAAUACCGCGUACGAUUCAUAGACGGCAUCGUUUGUGAAUGAAAGGUGGCCUCUAUUUAUAAGCUAUCGCUGAAGGAGGGGAUUGCGUCUGAUUAGCUAGUUGGAGGGGUAACGGCCCACCAAGGCAAUGAUCAGUAGCCGGUCUGAGAGGAUGAACGGCCACAUUGGGACUGAGACACGGCCCAAACUCCUACGGGAGGCAGCAGUGGGGAAUCUUCCGCAAUGGACGAAAGUCUGACGGAGCAACGCCGCGUGAGUGAUGAAGGUCUUCGGAUUGUAAAGCUCUGUUAAUCGGGACGAAAGAGUUCUGUGUGAAUAAUGCAGAAAAGUGACG